Molecule: ribosomal RNA, 675 nt
Filed under: uncultured bacterium
Lineage: Bacteria
Description: bacterial SSU rRNA
Rfam family: Bacterial small subunit ribosomal RNA
Source: RNAcentral
AGAGUUUGAUCAUGGCUCAGGAUGAACGCUGGCGGCGUGCUUAACACAUGCAAGUCGAACGAACCUUCGGGUUAGUGGCGGACGGGUGAGUAACGCGUGAGAAUCUGCCCUCAGGAGGGGGAUAACAGUUGGAAACGACUGCUAAUACCCCAUAUGCCGAGAGGUAAAAUGAAUUUUGCCUGGGGAUGAGCUCGCGUCUGAUUAGCUUGUUGGUGGGGUAAAGGCCUACCAAGGCUUCGAUCAGUAGCUGGUCUGAGAGGACGAUCAGCCACACUGGGACUGAGACACGGCCCAGACUCCUACGGGAGGCAGCAGUGGGGAAUUUUCCGCAAUGGGCGCAAGCCUGACGGAGCAACGCCGCGUGAGGGAUGGAGGCCUUUGGGCUGUAAACCUCUUUUCUCAAGGAAGAAGAUCUGACGGUACUUGAGGAAUAAGCCACGGCUAAUUCCGUGCCAGCAGCCGCGGUAAUACGGGAGUGGCAAGCGUUAUCCGGAAUUAUUGGGCGUAAAGCGUCCGCAGGCGGCCGUUUAAGUCUGUUGUUAAAUCGUGGAGCUCAACUCCAUCACGGCAAUGGAAACUGUUCGGCUUGAGUAUGGUAGGGGCAGAGGGAAUUUCCGGUGUAGCGGUGAAAUGCGUAGAUAUCGGGAAGAACACCAGUGGCAAAAGCGCUCUGCU